Lemur catta (Ring-tailed lemur) is the source of this 119-nucleotide long non-coding RNA. RefSeq lists it as uncharacterized. The transcript has 3 exons. Lineage: Eukaryota; Metazoa; Chordata; Mammalia; Primates; Lemuridae. The record is from RefSeq and is a predicted model, not a curated record.
AUUUACUGGCCCCCUAUUCUCCUGGAUGCACCUGUGAGAGCCGUUCUGCCCUGGUUGGCCCCAUGGCACUCAGGAUAAAAGGCAGAUAAUAUCCACGGACACAGAGUUCCCUUAGGCCU